AACGCACCUUGCGCCCUUUGGCUAUUCUGAAGGGCAUGCCUGUUUGAGUAUCAUGAACACCUCAACUCUCAUGGUUUGCCAUGAUGAGCUUGGACUUUGGGGGUCUUGCUGGCCUAUGGUCGGCUCCUCUCAAAUGAAUCAGCUUGCCAGUGUUUGGUGGCGUCACAGGUGUGAUAACUAUCUACGCUUGUGGUUUUCCACCAGGUAACCUUCAGUGAUGGAGGUUCGCUGGGGCUCACAAAUGUCUCUCCUCAGCGGGGACAGCUUUUUAAACGUUUGAUCUCAAAUCAGGUAGGACUACCCGCUGAACUUAA
Molecule: unclassified non-coding RNA, 314 nt
Filed under: uncultured Tomentella
Lineage: Eukaryota; Fungi; Basidiomycota; Agaricomycetes; Thelephorales; Thelephoraceae
Description: sequence contains ITS2
Source: RNAcentral